Molecule: long non-coding RNA, 1904 nt
Organism: Dreissena polymorpha
Lineage: Eukaryota; Metazoa; Mollusca; Bivalvia; Myida; Dreissenidae
Exons: 2
Source: RefSeq, a predicted model, not a curated record
GGUUUUAUUCUGGUUGCCUGCGAGUGACUUGCAGGUUGUUCGGGUUUUAUUCUGGUUGCCUGCGAGUGACUUGCAGGUUGUUCGGGUUUUAUUAUGGUUGCAUAUAACCAUUUUCUCUUUGCUUCUGAGCCGGAAAAGUUUAAAAGUCACAUUAACUGCGUAAUUUACUGGACAUUGUUUGGGUACAUUGUUGUUGUUUAGGCAGUAAAUACUGAACUAAUUAUUAUAUUAUAGUAAUAUAAUUCAUGUUAUCUGAAUCGAUUUUCUAUUUAACAAGAUAUUUGAUGGACAAAAAGUUUAAAGAAAUAUCAUACAUUUUUACCACACAAUUUUCAAAACUCAAAUAUACAGCUCACCUGAGCACAAUGUGCUUAUGGUGAGCUUUUGUGAUCGCCAUUUUGUCCAUCAUGCGGCGUCAAUAUUUGCCUUGUUAGCACUCUUAGAGGCCACAUUUAUUGUCCUAUCUUCUGAAAUUUGGUCAGAAGAUUAGUCCAAAUGGUAUCUUGGACGAGGUCGAAAAUGGUGCCAGUUGGUUUAAAAACAUGGCCACCAGGGGGUGGGGCAUUUUUCCUUGUAUGGUAAUAGUGAAACAUUGUUAAUACUCUAGAGAUUAUAUUUUUUGUCAGAUCAAUAUGAAACUUGGAUGAAGUUUUGUCCCAAUUAAAUAUGGGACUAUUUCGAAAAUGGUUACAGUUGGUGGAAAAACAUGGCUGCCAGGGGGCGGGGCUUUUUUCCUUAUAUGACUUGUCUACACUCUAAAAGUCUAAAAGUAAAAUCUUGUUAGCCAUCUUAGUCACAUUUAUAGUCUUAUCUAAAUGAAACAUGGUCAGAACAUUUGUUCUAGUGAUAUCUGCGUCUGCCCAGAACAGGUCAGAUUGUUUGUAUCUCAGGUGAGCGACUUUUGACCUUUCAGGCCCUCUCGUUUAUUAUUAGGUCAAUUUUAUUUCUCAUUUGCCAUUUAACAGAUUUUCAUAAAACUUGCCCCAUAUGAGGCAAAUGUGCAGAAGGCAAGAGGUAGUCUCCACAAAAGCUGCGUUGUGGGAAAACGGGGCUUAAUGCAUGUGCACAAGUGUCAUCCCAGAAUAGCCUGUGCAGUCUGUGCAUGGAGAACCCUUUCUGUUAAAGCAGGAUUUUUGCUAAGAGGAGACUUUCUUUAAAAUUUUAAACAAAAAAAACAAAACAAUAAAAAGCGUAUUGCACAGGCUAAUCUUGGAUGGGACUAUAUGCUGAUGCAUAAAGUCCAGUUUUCAUAGAGUGCGACUCACAAGGUCAAAGUCUCACUUGGAGGUCAAAAGGUUUACAGCAGGAUAAAGCCCCAAUACAAUUAGAUUAUUAUUUGUUACUUGAGUUAAUUUAUCACACUGAGAAUAUAAACGAGUAUCUUGUGUGUUUUUAUGUCCCCCACCACUAUAGUGGGGGACAUAUUGUUUUUGCCCUGUCUGUUGGUUUGUUUGUGUGUUUGCGUCAAACUUUAACAUUUGCCAUAACUUUUUCAAUAUUGAAGAUAGCAACUUGAUCUUUGGCAUGCAUGUGCAUCUCAUGGAGCUGCACAUUUUGAGUGGUGAAGGUCAAGGUCAUCAUUCAAGGUCAAAGGUCAAAUACAAAGUUUCAAAGCGGCGCAGUAGGGGACAUGGUGUUUCUGACAAACACAUUUCUUGUUUAUUUCAAGAAUGAUUGUAAUUUGCAUUGAAGAAUGUCAGAAGGUAUUGAAACCUCUGUGAGGUUUGCAUAUCUUUGACUUUGAUAUGGAAACAAACACAAUGCAUGUGCUAGUUUCCAUAAAAAACUUUGCUAAUUCAGAGUUAGUAUAUGUUUGCCCAUUUGUGUUCAGUAAGAACUGGUGCUUAUUAUUUUGUUGUUAUAUGUUUGAUUGCCCUUUACGAAUAAAUUUAAUAAAAGAGCUA